UACGGGGGGGGCAAGCGUUGUUCGGAAUUACUGGGCGUAAAGGGCUCGUAGGCGGCCAACUAAGUCAGACGUGAAAUCCCUCGGCUUAACCGGGGAACUGCGUCUGAUACUGGAUGGCUUGAAUCCGGGAGAGGGAUGCGGAAUUCCAGGUGUAGCGGUGAAAUGCGUAGAUAUCUGGAGGAACACCGGUGGCGAAGGCGGCAUCCUGGACCAAUUCUGACACUGAGGAGCGAAAGCCAGGGGAGCAAACGGG
Molecule: ribosomal RNA, 253 nt
Filed under: uncultured bacterium
Lineage: Bacteria
Description: partial 16S ribosomal RNA
Rfam family: Bacterial small subunit ribosomal RNA
Source: RNAcentral